Molecule: ribosomal RNA, 454 nt
Filed under: uncultured bacterium
Lineage: Bacteria
Description: bacterial SSU rRNA
Rfam family: Bacterial small subunit ribosomal RNA
Source: RNAcentral
UACGGAAGGCAGCAGUGGGGAAUAUUGCACAAUGGGCGCAAGCCUGAUGCAGCCAUGCCGCGUGUAUGAAAAAGGCCUUCGGGUUGUAAAGUACUUUCUAGUCGUGAGGAAGGUGUUAAGGUUAAUAACCUUAGCAAUUGACGUUAGCGACAGAAGAAGCACCGGCUAACUCCGUGCCAGCAGCCGCGGUAAUACGGAGGGUGCGAGCGUUAAUCGGAAUUACUGGGCGUAAAGGGCACGCAGGCGGUUAAUUAAGUUGGAUGUGAAAUCCCCGGGCUUAACCUGGGAAUGGCAUUCAAGACUGGUUAGCUAGAGUCUUGUAGAGGGGGUAGAAUUCCAUGUGUAGCGGUGAAAUGCGUAGAGAUGUGGAGGAAUACCGGUGGCGAAGGCGGCCCCUGGACAAAGACUGACGCUCAUGUGCGAAAGCGUGGGGAGCAAACAGGGAUUAGAUACC